Molecule: ribosomal RNA, 253 nt
Filed under: uncultured bacterium
Lineage: Bacteria
Description: partial 16S ribosomal RNA
Rfam family: Bacterial small subunit ribosomal RNA
Source: RNAcentral
UACAGAGGUCUCAAGCGUUGUUCGGAUUCAUUGGGCGUAAAGGGUGCGUAGGCGGCGUGGUAAGUCGGGUGUGAAAUCUCGGAGCUUAACUCCGAAACUGCAUUCGAUACUGCCGUGCUUGAGGACUGGAGAGGAGACUGGAAUUUACGGUGUAGCAGUGAAAUGCGUAGAGAUCGUAAGGAAGACCAGUGGCGAAGGCGGGCCUCUGGACAGUUCCUGACACUGAGGCACGAAGGCCAGGGGAGCAAACGGG